AUGGUGCAGAGACCUUCACAGGUGGCAGAGGGAGGUAGUCAUCAAACUCACAAGUCAAAUCAAAAUAUCCACUUCUCCAUUAGAUUGUUGCUCUCUCUCUCUCUCUCUCUCUCUCUCUCUCUCUCUCUCUCUCGUUCAUUGGUUCUAAUUCAUUGGAAGGACAGAGCCUCAACACUAUGACUUAGUACAUUUACAUUACAUUUAGUCAUUUAGCAGACGCUUUUAUCCAAAGCGACUUACAAAUGGGGACAAUGGAAGCAAUCAAAAUCAACAAAAGAGCAAUGAUAUGCAAGUGCUAUAACAAGUCUCAGUUAGGUUUAGGUUGUUUAAAUCAUAUAAUAAAUAAAAAUAAAACAAACAAAAAAAAUUUAUAAUAAAUAAAAAGAAAACCGAUAGAAUACAAAAAGAAUAGAGAAGCUAGUGUUAAUUUCUUUUUUCUUCUUUUUUUAAAAGAAAACACGCUGUUAAUUAGUGCAAGUCUAAAAGGGGCUAAUUAUUAUUUUUUUAAGAAUAGAAUUAGAACAGAGAGUGCUAGAGUUAGAUGGUCAAAUAAAGAUGGAAGAGAUGUGUUUUUAGCCGAUUCUUAAGAUGUCUAAGGACUCAUUCCACCAGGGGGGAACAUUUAAUUUAAAAGUCUGUGUAAGUGAUUUUGUGUCUUUUUGGGAUGGCAAAAUCAAGUGACGUUCACUUGCAGAAUGCAAGCUUCUAGAGGGCACAUAAAUCUGAAGUACUGAAUUUAGGUAAAGGGGUGCAGAGCCAGUGGUGGUUUUGUAGACAAACAUUUAUGCCUUAAAUUUUAUGUGAGCAGCUACUGGCAGCCAGUGCAAAUUGAUAAAAAGAGCUGUGACGCUAAAAAUUAAUCUUGCUGCUGCGUUCUGGAUUAAUUGUAUGACCUGCCAAGAGAGCAUUGCAAUAGUCCAGCCUGAACAGAACAAGUGCUUGAACAAGGAGUUGUGAAGCAUGUUCCGAAAGAAAGGGUCUGAUCUUCUUGAUGUUGAAUAAACUAAUCUGCAGGACCAGGCAUUUUUAGCAAUGUGGUCUGAGAAAGUUAGCUGAUCAUCAAUCAUAACUCCAAGGUUUCUGUCUGUUUUUGAAGAAGUUAUGGUUGAUGUGCCUAACUGGAUGGUGAAAUUGUGAUGAAAUGAUGGGUUUGAUGGAACCACAAGCAGUUCUGUCUUGGCAAGGUUGAGUUGAAGGUGAUGGUUCUUCAUCCAGCAAGAAAUGUCUGUUAAACAAGUUGAGAUGCAAGCAGCUAUCAUCGAAUCAUCAGGUUGGAACGAGAGGUAGAGUUGAGUGUCAUCAGCAUAGCAGUGAUAUGAAAAGCCAUGUUUUUGAAUGACAGAACCAAGUGAUGCUAUGUAGACAGAGAAGAGAAGUGAUCCAAGAACAGAGCCCGGAUGCACCCCAGUAGUUAGAUGUUGCGACUUGGACACCUCACCUCUCCAAGAUACCUUGAAGGACCUAUCUGAGAGAUAAGACUCAAACCACUUGAGUGCGGUUCCCGAGAUGCCCUUUGCCAAUAGGGUUGACAGGAGGAUCUGUAGGUUAACCAUGUCAAAAGCAGCGGACAGAUCCAGCAACAUAAGUAUUUAAGAUUUGGAAUCCGCUUUUGCCAGUGUUAGGGCUUCAACAACUGAGAGCAAGGCAGUCUCGGUUGAAUGUCCACUUCUGAAACCAGACUGGUUGCUGUCAAGGAGGUUGUUCUGUGUGAGAAAGGCAGAGACUUGGUUGAGCACAGCUCGUUCAAGUGUUUUUGCAAUGAAAGGAAGAAGAGAAACCAGUCUGUAGUUCUCUAAAAGAGGUAGAUUAAGGGUGGUAAAUUAGAAAUGAAAAUAUUUGGUAUUUUGAGAAAACUAGAUACAAUAUAUUAAUAAUAAUGAAGAUAUGUUAACAUACUUUGGGAUCUGAAAUUGCAUUAAAAAUGCAAUAUUCUAAUUUAAAACCUGAAAAUAACAAUUUUCUAAAGAUUUUAAAAGCAACACAUUUUGAAAAUAAAUAUUUAAGAUUCUGCCCUAGGCGCCACUAAUAAAAUAAAUUUGUGACAGUUUAUGCUAAAUUCUUUGUAGGGAUGGUCAGAUGUUCUUGUUUCCAUUGAAGCCAUUUUAUGCAAACUCGUGUAAAUGUUCAUUCAGCUGCAAAACUCCUGGAAUUUAUCAAUGAUAUUUUUUAACUCCAUUUGCUAUGCUGUUAAUACAAUGCAUAAAU
This is a long non-coding RNA of Cyprinus carpio carpio, 2205 nucleotides long. Lineage: Eukaryota; Metazoa; Chordata; Actinopteri; Cypriniformes; Cyprinidae. The record is from Ensembl.